RNAcentral lists this long non-coding RNA (547 nucleotides) under Homo sapiens (human). Its description in RNAcentral is "HSALNT0358847". Lineage: Eukaryota; Metazoa; Chordata; Mammalia; Primates; Hominidae. The record is from RNAcentral.
ACUUUGGGAAGCUGAGGCAGGAGGAUCACAUAAGGCCAGGAGUUUGAGACCAGCUUGGCCAACAUGACAAAACCCCGUCUUUACUAAAAAUACAAAAAUUAGCCAGGUGUGGUGGUGCCUACCUGUAAUCCCAGCUGCUUGGGAGGCUAAGGUGGGAGAAUUGUUUGAACCUGGGAGGUGGAGGUUGCGGUAAGCAGUAAGUUGCAGUUGCACUGCACUCCAGCCUGGGAGACAGAGCCAGACUCCAUCUCAAAAAAAUUAAAAAAAAUAAAUAUUGACAGGCUAUGUGGUUUGUCUGAGAGUUUUUUCAAAUGUCAUCAUAAUCUCCAAAAGAUUUUCCAGUAUAUUUAUUGAAAAAAUCUACGUAGAACCAUUGAUGAGGCUGAUGGGGCAAUGCAAUGUUCUUCUCUGCUUGAAGACGUCUACUUGUGAGGGACCUCUGGAAGAAGAGGAAGAAGACUUAGAUUUAGUCCCAGGUCAUCCACUCUUCAGACCUAUGAACUUGGACAAGUUAUCUAACCAUUCUAGCUGCACUUCCAGGGUUCUU